UCCCCGUUUUCCGGGGCAGUCUCUGUAGAGUUCCUGGCAUGACCCGUUGGCAACUACAGACGAGGGUUGCGCUCGUUGCGGGACUUAACCCAACAUCUCACGACACGAGCUGACGACAGCCAUGCAGCACCUGUGCACGGACUCCGAAGAGGAACCGAUGUUUCCACCGGCUUUCCCGUGCAUGUCAAGCCCAGGUAAGGUUCUUCGCGUUGCGUCGAAUUAAACCACAUGCUCCACCGCUUGUGCGGGCCCCCGUCAAUUCCUUUGAGUUUCAGCCUUGCGGCCGUACUCCCCAGGCGGGGUACUUAAUGCGUUAGCGCCGGCACCCAGGGGGUCGCUCCCCCAGGCACCUAGUGCCCAUCGUUUACGGCGUGGACUAC
RNAcentral lists this unclassified non-coding RNA (380 nucleotides) under uncultured Gemmatimonadaceae bacterium. Its description in RNAcentral is "contains 16S-23S intergenic spacer region". The record is from RNAcentral. Lineage: Bacteria; Pseudomonadati; Gemmatimonadota; Gemmatimonadia; Gemmatimonadales; Gemmatimonadaceae.